Molecule: ribosomal RNA, 258 nt
Filed under: uncultured bacterium
Lineage: Bacteria
Description: partial 16S ribosomal RNA
Rfam family: Bacterial small subunit ribosomal RNA
Source: RNAcentral
UACGAAGGGGGCUAGCGUUGCUCGGAAUCACUGGGCGUAAAGGGUGCGUAGGCGGGUCUUUAAGUCAGGGGUGAAAUCCUGGAGCUCAACUCCAGAACUGCCUUUGAUACUGAGGAUCUUGAGUUCGGGAGAGGUGAGUGGAACUGCGAGUGUAGAGGUGAAAUUCGUAGAUAUUCGCAAGAACACCAGUGGCGAAGGCGGCUCACUGGCCCGAUACUGACGCUGAGGCACGGAAAAGCGUGGGGGAGCCAACAGGAU